AAAGAUAAUUUUUGGAAAACUGUGUUGAAAUUAAAUUAGAAAUUUGGAAUAUGUAACAAACUGAAUACAUUUCGAGCACUAAAUUUUAAGGUACCAGAGACCUAUAUUAACUCGAACGUGUGAUUGGGUAAUCCAAAAAGUUAUAGGCUUAAGCCAACGAUGGGGAUCUGGUGCACGGCUGUUGAAGGCAAAGAUAAUUGAUUUACAUUUAAUUUAAUGACGUUUAACUGUGUAUUUCCCAUAAGUUUUACAUAAGAUACCAGUUAAAAUGCUGUAAAUACACACACUGUGAAAUAAAUAUAUAACACGACGACACACUGAAAUGUUGAUCAUAUGGAUGCAUUUGAUCUGCCAACUAUUCUUCUCUUGCUUUG
Molecule: long non-coding RNA, 374 nt
Organism: Drosophila montana
Lineage: Eukaryota; Metazoa; Arthropoda; Insecta; Diptera; Drosophilidae
Exons: 2
Source: RefSeq, a predicted model, not a curated record